CCUACGGGAGGCUGCAGUGGGGAAUAUUGGACAAUGCGGGCAACCCUGAUCCAGCCAUGCCGCGUGUGUGAAGAAGGCCCUCGGGUUGUAAAGCACUUUCAGUGAGGAAGAACGCCUGGUGGUUAAUACCCAUCAGGAAAGACAUCACUCACAGAAGAAGCACCGGCUAACUCCGUGCCAGCAGCCGCGGUAAUACGGAGGGUGCGAGCGUUAAUCGGAAUUACUGGGCGUAAAGCGCGCGUAGGUGGCUUGAUAAGCCGGUUGUGAAAGCCCCGGGCUCAACCUGGGAACGGCAUCCGGAACUGUCAAGCUAGAGUGCAGGAGAGGAAGGUAGAAUUCCCGGUGUAGCGGUGAAAUGCGUAGAGAUCGGGAGGAAUACCAGUGGCGAAGGCGGCCUUCUGGACUGACACUGACACUGAGGUGCGAAAGCGUGGGUAGCAAACAGGAUUAGAUACCCUUGUAGUC
Molecule: ribosomal RNA, 465 nt
Filed under: Vreelandella stevensii
Lineage: Bacteria; Pseudomonadati; Pseudomonadota; Gammaproteobacteria; Oceanospirillales; Halomonadaceae
Description: partial 16S ribosomal RNA
Rfam family: Bacterial small subunit ribosomal RNA
Source: RNAcentral